GCCUGAGUGGUGGAAUGGUAUACACGCACGCCUUAAGAGCGUGUUGCCUCGGCAAUAAGGGUUCGAGUCCCUUCUCAGGCA
RNAcentral lists this transfer RNA (81 nucleotides) under Candidatus Levyibacteriota bacterium. Its description in RNAcentral is "tRNA-Leu". It matches the Rfam family "tRNA". From Rfam's summary of the family: Transfer RNA (tRNA) molecules are approximately 80 nucleotides in length. Their secondary structure includes four short double-helical elements and three loops (D, anti-codon, and T loops). Further hydrogen bonds mediate the characteristic L-shaped molecular structure. tRNAs have two regions of fundamental functional importance: the anti-codon, which is responsible for specific mRNA codon recognition, and the 3' end, to which the tRNAs corresponding amino acid is attached (by aminoacyl-tRNA synthetases). tRNAs cope with the degeneracy of the genetic code in two manners: having more than one tRNA (with a specific anti-codon) for a particular amino acid; and 'wobble' base-pairing, i.e. permitting non-standard base-pairing at the 3rd anti-codon position. Lineage: Bacteria; Candidatus Levyibacteriota. The record is from RNAcentral.